This 119-nucleotide ribosomal RNA is filed under the name Pogona vitticeps (central bearded dragon). Lineage: Eukaryota; Metazoa; Chordata; Lepidosauria; Squamata; Agamidae. The record is from RNAcentral.
UAGAAACACCAUACCUAAUGGAAAAUCUCUGAUCUCUUACGAUCUCGGAAGAUAAGCAGAGCCAGAUCUGGUUAGCACUUGUAGGGGAGAACACUGAGGAACAGGGGGGGGGGUUCCAG